Molecule: ribosomal RNA, 416 nt
Filed under: uncultured bacterium
Lineage: Bacteria
Description: bacterial SSU rRNA
Rfam family: Bacterial small subunit ribosomal RNA
Source: RNAcentral
GAACGGGGUAGCAAUACCCAGUGGCAGACGGGUGAGUAACACGUGGUCAACCUACCUCUGUGUGGGGGAUAACUAGCCGAAAGGUUAGCUAAUACCGCAUACGAUCGUUUCGGGGCAUCCUAAAACGAUGAAAGGAGCAAUCCGCACGGAGAGGGGACUGCGUCCCAUUAGUUAGUUGGUGGGGUAAUGGCCUACCAAGACUCCGAUGGGUAGCUGGCUUGAGAGAGCGACCAGCCACACUGGAACUGAGACACGGUCCAGACUCCUACGGGAGGCAGCAGUGAGGAAUUUUCCGCAAUGGGCGAAAGCCUGACGGAGCGACGCCGCGUGUGGGAAGAAGGCCUUCGGGUCGUANACCACUGUCGAAGGGGACGAUAUUGACGGUACCCUUGGAGGAAGCCCCGGCUAACUACGUG